UACGUAGGGUGCAAGCGUUAAUCGGAUUCAUUGGGCGUAAAGGGUGCGUAGGUGGCGUGGUAAGUCGGGUGUGAAAUUUCGGAGCUUAACUCCGAAACUGCAUUCGAUACUGCCGUGCUUGAGGACUGGAGAGGAGACUGGAAUUUACGGUGUAGCAGUGAAAUGCGUAGAGAUCGUAAGGAAGACCAGUGGCGAAGGCGGGUCUCUGGACAGUUCCUGACACUGAGGCACGAAGGCCAGGGGAGCAAACGGG
RNAcentral lists this ribosomal RNA (253 nucleotides) under uncultured bacterium. Its description in RNAcentral is "partial 16S ribosomal RNA". It matches the Rfam family "Bacterial small subunit ribosomal RNA", at positions 524 to 776 of the family's 1533-position model. The record is from RNAcentral.